RNAcentral lists this ribosomal RNA (241 nucleotides) under uncultured Clostridia bacterium. RNAcentral describes it as "partial 16S ribosomal RNA". It matches the Rfam family "Bacterial small subunit ribosomal RNA", at positions 923 to 1172 of the family's 1533-position model. Lineage: Bacteria; Bacillati; Bacillota; Clostridia. The record is from RNAcentral.
GCACAAGCAGUGGAGUAUGUGGUUUAAUUCGACGCAACGCGAAGAACCUUACCAAGUCUUGACAUCCCUUGAUGAUGCUGGAAACAGUAUUUCUCUUCGGAGCAAGGAGACAGGUGGUGCAUGGUUGUCGUCAGCUCGUGUCGUGAGAUGUUGGGUUAAGUCCCGCAACGAGCGCAACCCCUAUCAUUAGUUGCUACGCAAGAGCACUCUAAUGAGACUGCCGUUGACAAAACGGAGGAAG